This 497-nucleotide ribosomal RNA is filed under the name uncultured bacterium. Its description in RNAcentral is "partial 16S ribosomal RNA". It matches the Rfam family "Bacterial small subunit ribosomal RNA", at positions 28 to 507 of the family's 1533-position model. The record is from RNAcentral.
GAUGAACGCUGGCGGCGUGCCUAAUACAUGCAAGUCGAGCGAACAGACGAGGAGCUUGCUCCUUCGACGUUAGCGGCGGACGGGUGAGUAACACGUGGAUAACCUACCUAUAAGACUGGGAUAACUUCGGGAAACCGGAGCUAAUACCGGAUAAUAUUUUGAACCGCAUGGUUCAAUAGUGAAAGACGGCUUUGCUGUCACUUAUAGAUGGAUCUGCGCCGUAUUAGCUAGUUGGUAAGGUAACGGCUUACCAAGGCAACGAUACGUAGCCGACCUGAGAGGGUGAUCGGCCACACUGGAACUGAGACACGGUCCAGACUCCUACGGGAGGCAGCAGUAGGGAAUCUUCCGCAAUGGGCGAAAGCCUGACGGAGCAACGCCGCGUGAGUGAUGAAGGUCUUCGGAUCGUAAAACUCUGUUAUUAGGGAAGAACAAAUGUGUAAGUAACUGUGCACGUCUUGACGGUACCUAAUCAGAAAGCCACGGCUAACUACGUG